AUUGAAACACUGGUUCUCAUAUGAUCACCUAAGUUAAGCAAUGUUGAGCCUGGCUAGUACCUGGAUGGGUGACCACUUGGGAAUAACAGGUUCUGUAA
Acanthosepion pharaonis is the source of this 98-nucleotide non-coding RNA. Lineage: Eukaryota; Metazoa; Mollusca; Cephalopoda; Sepiida; Sepiidae. The record is from the annotation of a GenBank genome assembly.